This 322-nucleotide ribosomal RNA is filed under the name uncultured eukaryote. RNAcentral's name for it is "partial 18S ribosomal RNA". It matches the Rfam family "Eukaryotic small subunit ribosomal RNA", at positions 1470 to 1796 of the family's 1831-position model. The record is from RNAcentral.
CCCUUAGAUGUUCUGGGCCGCACGCGUGCUACACUGAGUGGAUCAGCGGGUCAGGUUGCGCGAAAGCGUUUCCUAAUCUUUAAAUCCGCUCGUGAUGGGGAUUGACGGUUGCAAUUUUCUGUCAUGAACGAGGAAUACCUUGUAAGCGCGGGUCAUCAUCCCGCGCUGAAUACGUCCCUGCCCUUUGUACACACCGCCCGUCGCCCCUACCGAUUGAGUGGUCCGGUGAGGCUUUGGGAUCUGAGCGGAAAGAGCGUUUCGCUGUUUCUGCCCGGAAAACUCAGUCGAACCUUAUCAUUUAGAGGAAGGAGAAGUCGUAACA